This 255-nucleotide ribosomal RNA is filed under the name Mycobacterium tuberculosis. Its description in RNAcentral is "partial 23S ribosomal RNA". It matches the Rfam family "Bacterial large subunit ribosomal RNA", at positions 2639 to 2905 of the family's 2925-position model. Lineage: Bacteria; Bacillati; Actinomycetota; Actinomycetes; Mycobacteriales; Mycobacteriaceae. The record is from RNAcentral.
UAUCUGCCGUGGGUGUAGGAAUAUUGACAGGAUCUGUCCCUAGUACGAGAGGACCGGGAUGGACGUAUCUCUGGUGGACCUGUUGUGGCGCCAGCCGCAUAGCAGGGUAGCUAUAUACGGACGGGAUAACCGCUGAAGGCAUCUAAGCGGGAAACCCACCUGAAAACGAGUAUUCCCUUGAGAGCCGUGGAAGACCACCACGUUGAUAGGCCGGGUGUGGAAGUGCGGCAACGCAUGAAGCUUACCGGUACUAAU